GGCUCGAUGGCGGAUGGUCCGCGUCUGUGUUGUUUAACUGAGUUUUCUGGGCGGUGAAGCAGAUUAUCGCCCGUUCGACUCGGGCUCGAGCUA
This is a non-coding RNA of Mycena crocata, 93 nucleotides long. The record is from the annotation of a GenBank genome assembly. NCBI's taxonomy places the organism in Eukaryota, Fungi, Basidiomycota, Agaricomycetes, Agaricales, Mycenaceae.